UCUCCCGUGAGGGAGCAGUCUCGCCUGACUUUUAAAACAGACAACGAGGGUUGCGUUCGUUACCCCACUGAAGGGAACAACUCAAGCCACGAACUGACGACGACCAUGCAUCACCUGCCCAACUGUCUUGCGAAAGCCAAAGUUUCCUAAGGCGGUCAGUUGAGUUUCAAACCCUGGUGAGGUUCUUCGUUUGCUAUCGAAUUGAGCCACAUAAUCCACCGCUUGUGCAAGUCCCCGUCUAUUCCUUUGAGUUUUAGCCUUGCGGCCGUACUACCCAGGCGCAUCACUUAACGCGUUAGCUUCGCCUCACAGAGGGUCGAUACUCCGUAAAGCCAGUGAUGAUCGUUUAGGGCGUGGACUA
RNAcentral lists this unclassified non-coding RNA (361 nucleotides) under uncultured bacterium. RNAcentral describes it as "contains 16S-23S intergenic spacer region". The record is from RNAcentral.